Molecule: long non-coding RNA, 1679 nt
Organism: Heterocephalus glaber (naked mole-rat)
Lineage: Eukaryota; Metazoa; Chordata; Mammalia; Rodentia; Bathyergidae
Source: Ensembl
GUUUACUAGAGCCUCCUGUGUACAUGGUUUUGUGCUGGGUGACUCUGGGGACAGGACAGUGACUAGAACCUGUCCUCACCAGGCUUCCUGUCCAUGGGAGUGACAAUAGUGGCCGGGGCCAGGAUCUAAAAGAGGAGCAACCAAGUCUGCAGCAAUCAGCACUUCCUAGAAAAGAGAUCAGCUGGGCGAUGGGGGGGGGGGGGGAAGCAGCGACCACUACAGGGAAGGUGUGUUUACACAAGACUCGGUGGUGUCCACCACUAACAGGGUUUUCCUAGGUUGCUAGGUUGCCCAGGCUGUGCUCAAACUUUCCACCCUCCUGCCUCAGUGUCCCAGAGUAUCCCACCAGGCCAGGCUACUUCAUCUGCCUUGUUCACUGAUAUAUCCUCAGUGCCUAGGACAAGACCCAGCAGACAGAAGGACCCCUGUGUGAGGUAGGAGAACAAGCCAGAGCCAGCCUGCUGGAGGAUGAGAGGCCCAGCAGACCCCUGAGCUUGCCAGGCACACACCCGUGUGGCUUCCCACAUCACCCAGCCCAGCAAACCUGCAGACUGGAGCAAGAACAAAUGUUCGGUAUCUUAGGCCACUGAGUUUAUGCAGCACCACCCACAGCAAUAGCCAACUAACACAAUGAACCACACUUUUGUCUAAAUAUUUUGUUGUUAAAUAUAACACAAAGGCAGAAACUGCAUAAAACAAUUGCUAUGGUUUUAAUGGAUCCCAAAAAAAAUCAUGUUGGAAACUUAAUCCCCAAUGAAAGUGGCUAUGGUUUGGAUGAAUGUCCCCAAACGUCCCCAUGUGCAAGCUUGGUCCCCAGGGUAGCAGUAGAGGGAGGUAUUGUGGCCCUUUAAGGGUCGGGGCCUAGCAAGAGGUCCUUAGGUCACCAAGGGCGCUCUCAAAAGGAACUGUGGAACCCCAGUCUCACAGUCUGUCUGCUUCUCAUUUGUGAAAUGAGCAAUCUGCUCCUCCCCUCCUGCCACGGUGUGCUGUCCUCAAUCCAGGGCCAAAUCGAGGGGACACCCAGUCUUGGACUUGAAUUUCCAGAACAAUGAGCCAAAAUAAACCCCUCUUUACUUCAUAAGUAUCCUGUGUUGGUCAGGUAUUCUAUUACAAGCAUAAGCCACCAUACCUGGCCUGUAACACUCUUUUGUAGUUACGUAACUAACUUUACUUCGGUCUGGUGUUUUUGUUUUCGUGUAUAUUCAAAUUACUACCCAAGGUCACUUGCUUCAAGCCUGAAGAACUUCCUCACCAUUUCUCACAAGGUGGGUCUGGUUUGCCAGCCUGGUACAGAACUAACUGAUUUUUGGCUGGCUCUGAUUUGAGGGAACCUCCCUCCUCCACAUAGUCCACGUGAUUUUGGCAGGCCAACCUUACUUCCUUCACACAGCAGGCAAAUGACAGUGAUAGCCCUGUGACAAGCCUGGGCCAGUGAAAGCCUGCCUAAAACUGUGAAGGUGACUGGAAGGUAAAAAGAGCCAUCUGCGGAAAUACAUAGAACCCACAUCCAGCCCUGUAUGAAGCUGUACCUGCCACUGGAUUUUCAACUUUUUCAUUAUUAUUUAUUUUACUACAGGAUACCUGGGAUUGAACCCAGGGCCUUCACAGUGAGCUACAUUCCCAGCCCUCUUUUUUUUUUUUUUUUUUAAUAUUUAGGGCUGGGGAUUUAGCUCAGUGGU